UUGCAUGACAUUGGGCACAAUGAGCAACGAAGAAUGGUUCCAAAAAUAGACAAUUUUGUGGAGGAUGUUGUCCCUCUCUACAGUCUCUCAGAAUUUAGAGGUCAUUUCAGGCUUUCCAAAGAACAAGUGGAGGAUGUCAUUACUACCCUUGGUCCUGUUUAUAUGAAUUUACAACAGACCAAACUUCCACUCACAAACAGUGUUCUUGCCUGCCUUUGGACAUUGGCGAAUCAGGAGUCAUAUCGUGGGGUGGCAGAUAGAUUCAAC
Molecule: long non-coding RNA, 267 nt
Organism: Xyrauchen texanus (razorback sucker)
Lineage: Eukaryota; Metazoa; Chordata; Actinopteri; Cypriniformes; Catostomidae
Exons: 3
Source: RefSeq, a predicted model, not a curated record